Molecule: ribosomal RNA, 261 nt
Filed under: uncultured archaeon
Lineage: Archaea
Description: partial 16S ribosomal RNA
Rfam family: Archaeal small subunit ribosomal RNA
Source: RNAcentral
CAGCCCUAAACGAUGCGCGUUAGGUGUAUCGGUGACCACGAGUCACCGAGGUGCCGAAGGGAAACCGUGAAACGUGCCGCCUGGGAAGUACGGUCGCAAGGCUGAAACUUAAAGGAAUUGGCGGGGGAGCACCACAACAGGUGGAGCCUGCGGUUUAAUUGGAUUCAACGCCGGACAUCUCACCGGAUAAGACAGUUGAAUGAUUGUCAAUCUGAAGGUUAUACAUGACUAGCUGAGAGGUGGUGCAUGGCGUCAGUGACU